This 375-nucleotide ribosomal RNA is filed under the name uncultured organism. RNAcentral's name for it is "partial 16S ribosomal RNA". It matches the Rfam family "Bacterial small subunit ribosomal RNA", at positions 526 to 896 of the family's 1533-position model. The record is from RNAcentral.
GUAGGUGGGCAAGCGUUGUCCGGAAAUUAUUGGGGCGUAAAGCGCGCGCAGGGCGGUCCUUUAAGUCUGAUGUGAAAGCCCACGGCUCAACCGUGGAGGGUCAUUGGAAACUGGGGGACUUGAGUACAGAAGAGGAAAGCGGAAUUCCAAGUGUAGCGGUGAAAUGCGUAGAGAUUUGGAGGAACACCAGUGGCGAAGGCGGCUUUCUGGUCUGUAACUGACGCUGAGGCGCGAAAGCGUGGGGAGCAAACAGGAUUAGAUACCCUGGUAGUCCACGCCGUAAACGAUGAGUGCUAAGUGUUAGGGGGUUUCCGCCCCUUAGUGCUGCAGCUAACGCAUUAAGCACUCCGCCUGGGGAGUACGGCCGCAAGGCUG